UACAAAGACUUUCUGCAGCUGGGCUUUCCGAGGAUUCAAAUGUCAGGAAAAAUGUACAGCGCUCUCUUGCUACAGAUCUUCAAAGCCUAUCAAUGGAGCUUCGCAGAAAACAGUCUACUUAUUUGAAGAGGCUUCAGCAGCAGAAAGAGGGUCCAGAUGGAGUUGACUUGGAGAUGAACUUAAAUGGGAGCCAUUCUAGAAGGGAUGACGAUGAUUUGGAUGACUUGGGAUUUAAUGAGCAUCAGAUGGCCAAGCUAAAGAAAAGUGAGGCAUUCACUGUUGAAAGAGAGAGAGAAAUACAGCAGGUGGUUGAAUCAGUGAACGACCUUGCCCAAAUUAUGAAAGAUCUAUCAGUUCUGGUGAUAGACCAGGGUACUAUCGUCGAUAGGAUAGACCACAAUAUUCAAAAUGUUGCAUCAACAGUUGAGGACGGCCUUAAACAACUAAAGAAGGCUGAACGAAGUCAGAAGCGAGGUGGAAUGGUCAUGUGUGCAACAGUUCUAGUUAUCAUGUGCUUUAUAAUGCUAGUCCUAUUAAUUUUGAAGGAGAUAAUAUUCUGAUUUCUGAAAGUAUUAUCUAUAAACUUUGCAUAGUAUUGUUUCUCACAACGCUACAUGGUGAAGCAAGCCAACACAUGUGCGAGAAGUGGAGGAAUCCAAUGAGCUAGCUCCAUAUCAUUUUUCUGCUACUACAUUUUAUUGUAUCUGUAUUGUUAGUGAGGACUGCGGAGGGUUUGUAUUAUAGUCAGAGGAAGUUGAUAGAUCUCCAGGGAUCCUGUAUAGAGCAUCGACUGUUAUACACCGAUGCUAUUGGUAGAGAUCAUAAUACAUAUUCUUUAUCCCUGGAGAAUUUUGUAGUUUCGCUGACUUCACAUUAUAUGCAUGAGGAGGAUACAACGUAUUCUGUAUUUGUGGCCCUUCAUUUUUAAUUGAG
RNAcentral lists this unclassified non-coding RNA (933 nucleotides) under Hevea brasiliensis (rubber tree). The record is from RNAcentral. Lineage: Eukaryota; Viridiplantae; Streptophyta; Magnoliopsida; Malpighiales; Euphorbiaceae.